GAGGCUUUAGCUUAAUUAAAGUGUCUGAGUUGCAUUCAGGAGAUGUAUAUCAAGGUUAUACAGGUCUUC
This 69-nucleotide transfer RNA is filed under the name Bavayia ashleyi. Its description in RNAcentral is "tRNA-Ala". Lineage: Eukaryota; Metazoa; Chordata; Lepidosauria; Squamata; Diplodactylidae. The record is from RNAcentral.